This 447-nucleotide ribosomal RNA is filed under the name Escherichia coli. Its description in RNAcentral is "partial 23S ribosomal RNA". It matches the Rfam family "Bacterial large subunit ribosomal RNA", at positions 1297 to 1746 of the family's 2925-position model. Lineage: Bacteria; Pseudomonadati; Pseudomonadota; Gammaproteobacteria; Enterobacterales; Enterobacteriaceae. The record is from RNAcentral.
CUGACAUAAGUAACGAUAAAGCGGGUGAAAAGCCCGCUCGCCGGAAGACCAAGGGUUCCUGUCCAACGUUAAUCGGGGCAGGGUGAGUCGACCCCUAAGGCGAGGCCGAAAGGCGUAGUCGAUGGGAAACAGGUUAAUAUUCCUGUACUUGGUGUUACUGCGAAGGGGGGACGGAGAAGGCUAUGUUGGCCGGGCGACGGUUGUCCCGGUUUAAGCGUGUAGGCUGGUUUUCCAGGCAAAUCCGGAAAAUCAAGGCUGAGGCGUGAUGACGAGGCACUACGGUGCUGAAGCAACAAAUGCCCUGCUUCCAGGAAAAGCCUCUAAGCAUCAGGUAACAUCAAAUCGUACCCCAAACCGACACAGGUGGUCAGGUAGAGAAUACCAAGGCGCUUGAGAGAACUCGGGUGAAGGAACUAGGCAAAAUGGUGCCGUAACUUCGGGAGAAGG